This 271-nucleotide long non-coding RNA is filed under the name Oryctolagus cuniculus (rabbit). RNAcentral describes it as "lncRNA (ENSOCUG00000031421.1)". The record is from RNAcentral. Lineage: Eukaryota; Metazoa; Chordata; Mammalia; Lagomorpha; Leporidae.
AGAGAGAAAGGCGAUGUCAGAGAGGUGUAUGACAUUCUUUGACACUGGGUUCCAGAGUAUCCUGGAAACAGGAGACUGUUUCCAGCACCCAAAUGUGUCAAGAAGUUGUGAGAAGAGUUCCAGACAAGGUGAAAGGCUGUGUUCAAGGAGAUUUGGCUGGCUGAUUGAUGAAGAAUAUCAUCAAAGGAUCAAUAUUUUUGUAGAUAUUGUGAAAUUAAUAAGAAAAACAAGAAAGAAAGGACAUGAGCCAGAUGGAAGGAGGCAUGUGUAG